Molecule: transfer RNA, 73 nt
Filed under: Mesocricetus auratus (golden hamster)
Lineage: Eukaryota; Metazoa; Chordata; Mammalia; Rodentia; Cricetidae
Rfam family: tRNA
About the family: Transfer RNA (tRNA) molecules are approximately 80 nucleotides in length. Their secondary structure includes four short double-helical elements and three loops (D, anti-codon, and T loops).
Source: Rfam by way of RNAcentral
GCCCAGCUAACUCAGUUGGUAGAUCAUGGGACUCUUAAUCCCAAGGUUGUGGGUUCAUGCCCCAUACUGGGUA